Molecule: small RNA, 596 nt
Filed under: bovine gut metagenome
Source: RNAcentral
AAUGACACAAGGUGGCGCAGUAUUCUAGUCAGAAUUUGAUUAUUCUGAAGACGGGGCUAAAAAUCCGCCAAAGGGCACAUCGAUGAAGCUCCUUUUAUUUGCCGCUGACGCCCAGUCGGGGGCAUUUAUCGGGAGAAUGGCGCAGAGGGCGAUCCGUAAUGGCAUAUGGGCGAGAACCCUUUCCGCCGUGGAGGCUCACUUUCAUAUUUCCAUAUGACUGCGAGUAAUAAACCUGAAGUGAGGUCACAGUCGCAUAAGGCGAGACUUCACCUAAGCGUAGCCUGCCUUGAGUGAAAAGAGGGGAUGUCGGAUCGAGCCACAGGUCCGGCGGCCGAGGACGUGUGUCAAUUGCCGGCUGAAACUCCUUUUGCAAAAGAGGAUAAGAAUAUUCAAUACUGUUGAGGAAAUCUCCUAGACUGUAUAGGGCCUGUGGAUUGCGGUUCGGACUCAGUGGCCAUCUGGUAGCGAUGUCAGUGAUGGCACGCGCUCCGCUUUAAUGGGAAACCGCUGAAUCGGCGACGUUUCAGCAGCGGAGGCAGGAAAUCUGACCAGACCUAUGCCGAAAAGUUAACACAGGCACUGUCCACCAUAUUUUU